AGGCGCGUAGCUCAGGGGGAGAGCGCUACCUCGACACGGUAGAAGUCAAGAGUUCAAAUCUCUUCGCGCCUACCA
Molecule: transfer RNA, 75 nt
Filed under: Desulfobacterales bacterium C00003104
Lineage: Bacteria; Pseudomonadati; Thermodesulfobacteriota; Desulfobacteria; Desulfobacterales
Also listed under: 5 other names
Description: tRNA-Val
Rfam family: tRNA
About the family: Transfer RNA (tRNA) molecules are approximately 80 nucleotides in length.
Source: RNAcentral